RNAcentral lists this ribosomal RNA (298 nucleotides) under Chryseobacterium phosphatilyticum. RNAcentral's name for it is "Chryseobacterium sp. ISE14 partial 16S ribosomal RNA". It matches the Rfam family "Bacterial small subunit ribosomal RNA", at positions 1237 to 1533 of the family's 1533-position model. Lineage: Bacteria; Pseudomonadati; Bacteroidota; Flavobacteriia; Flavobacteriales; Weeksellaceae. The record is from RNAcentral.
GUACAAAGGGUUGCCAAGCCGCGAGGUGGAGCUAAUCCCAUAAAACCGAUCGUAGUCCGGAUCGCAGUCUGCAACUCGACUGCGUGAAGUCGGAAUCGCUAGUAAUCGUGAAUCAGAAUGUCACGGUGAAUACGUUCCCGGGCCUUGUACACACCGCCCGUCACACCAUGGGAGUGGGUUGCUCCAGAAGUAGCUAGUCUAACCGCAAGGGGGACGGUUACCACGGAGUGAUUCAUGACUGGGGUGAAGUCGUAACAAGGUAGCCGUAGGGGAACCUGCGGCUGGAUCACCUCCUUAA